This 493-nucleotide ribosomal RNA is filed under the name uncultured bacterium. RNAcentral describes it as "partial 16S ribosomal RNA". It matches the Rfam family "Bacterial small subunit ribosomal RNA", at positions 29 to 507 of the family's 1533-position model. The record is from RNAcentral.
ACGAACGCUGGCGGCGUGCUUAACACAUGCCAGUCGAACGGUGAAGCGCCUUCCUUUUUGGUGGGUGUGGAUGAGUGGCGAACGGGUGAGUAACACGUGAGUAACCUGCCCCCUUCUUCUGGAUAACCGCAUGAAAGUGUGGCUAAUACGGGAUAUUCUGGGUCUGUCGCAUGAUGGGUCUGGGAAAGAUAUUGUUUCGGUGGGGGAUGGGCUCGCGGCCUAUCAGCUUGUUGGUGGGGUGAUGGCCUACCAAGGCGGUGACGGGUAGCCGGCCUGAGAGGGUGGACGGUCACACUGGGACUGAGACACGGCCCAGACUCCUACGGGAGGCAGCAGUGGGGAAUAUUGCACAAUGGGCGCAAGCCUGAUGCAGCGACGCCGCGGGAGGGAUGGAGGCCUUCGGGUUGUGAACCUCUUUCGCCAGUGAAGCAGGCCUGCCUCGUUUGUGGGUGGGUUGACGGUAGCUGGAUAAGAAGCGCCGGCUAACUACGUG